Non-coding RNA from Paramuricea clavata, 279 nucleotides. The record is from the annotation of a GenBank genome assembly. Lineage: Eukaryota; Metazoa; Cnidaria; Anthozoa; Malacalcyonacea; Plexauridae.
AUCUAUGUUGGUCAACGUUUAUUCAUAAAUCUGGUCCUUCCCGUCUCGUGUCUAUUGUAUUUUUGCCAAAUCCAUCAAUAGCAAUUCCCCCUAUUGUUCGAGUCACGGAUAGGCAACUUUCCUAAAACAUUGCUAUUGGUUAGUUGGGCAAAAAGACAAUACACACGUGACGGUGAAGGACCAGAUUUAUGAAUAAACGUUGACUAACAUAGAUAAUGAGUCAUAUUAUUAUUCUAAUGAGUUUGGCCUGUUUCAAACGUCGCGCUUCUCAUGUGCCGA